This 96-nucleotide microRNA precursor is filed under the name Nicotiana attenuata. RNAcentral describes it as "MIR6152 microRNA precursor family". It matches the Rfam family "MIR6152 microRNA precursor family". Lineage: Eukaryota; Viridiplantae; Streptophyta; Magnoliopsida; Solanales; Solanaceae. The record is from Rfam by way of RNAcentral.
UGGACAGAUUAUUGUAUUCGACUGUAUUCACGGCAUGAAACAGGGGAUUACACUAUUUUUAAACGGAAAGUGAAUCAAUUAACAUAAUAGACUCCU